GACGAACCGUACGAACGUUAUUCGGAAUUACUGGGCUUAAAGGGUGCGUAGGCGGCGCGGAAAGUUGGGUGUGAAAUCCCUCGGCUCAACCGAGGAACUGCGCCCAAAACUACCGUGCUUGAGGGAGAUAGAGGUGAGCGGAACUUAGGGUGGAGCGGUGAAAUGCGUUGAUAUCCUAAGGAACACCUGUGGCGAAAGCGGCUCACUGGGUCUCUACUGACGCUGAUGCACGAAAGCUAGGGUAGCGAA
This 249-nucleotide ribosomal RNA is filed under the name uncultured bacterium. RNAcentral describes it as "partial 16S ribosomal RNA". It matches the Rfam family "Bacterial small subunit ribosomal RNA", at positions 524 to 772 of the family's 1533-position model. The record is from RNAcentral.